UACGAAGGGGGCUAGCGUUGUUCGGAUUUACUGGGCGUAAAGCGCACGUAGGUGGACAGUUAAGUGAGAGGUGAAAUCCCAGGGCUCAACCCUGGAACUGCCUUUCAUACUGGCUGUCUCGAGUUCGGAAGAGGUGAGUGGAAUUCCAAGUGUAGAGGUGAAAUUCGUAGAUAUUUGGAAGAACACCAGUGGCGAAGGCGGCUCACUGGUCCGAUACUGACACUGAGGUGCGAAAGCGUGGGGAG
This 245-nucleotide ribosomal RNA is filed under the name uncultured Alphaproteobacteria bacterium. RNAcentral's name for it is "partial 16S ribosomal RNA". It matches the Rfam family "Bacterial small subunit ribosomal RNA", at positions 524 to 768 of the family's 1533-position model. The record is from RNAcentral. Lineage: Bacteria; Pseudomonadati; Pseudomonadota; Alphaproteobacteria.